GCCCGCUUGGCGGAACUGGUAGACGCACGAGACUUAAAAUCUCGGGUCCUUCGGGACGUACAGGUUCAAGUCCUGUAGCGGGCA
Molecule: transfer RNA, 84 nt
Filed under: Rhodospirillaceae bacterium
Lineage: Bacteria; Pseudomonadati; Pseudomonadota; Alphaproteobacteria; Rhodospirillales; Rhodospirillaceae
Description: tRNA-Leu
Rfam family: tRNA
About the family: Transfer RNA (tRNA) molecules are approximately 80 nucleotides in length. Their secondary structure includes four short double-helical elements and three loops (D, anti-codon, and T loops). Further hydrogen bonds mediate the characteristic L-shaped molecular structure. tRNAs have two regions of fundamental functional importance: the anti-codon, which is responsible for specific mRNA codon recognition, and the 3' end, to which the tRNAs corresponding amino acid is attached (by aminoacyl-tRNA synthetases). tRNAs cope with the degeneracy of the genetic code in two manners: having more than one tRNA (with a specific anti-codon) for a particular amino acid; and 'wobble' base-pairing, i.e. permitting non-standard base-pairing at the 3rd anti-codon position.
Source: RNAcentral